GACGAACGCUGGCGGCGCGCCUAACACAUGCAAGUCGAACGAGCGAGCGAGAGCUUGCUUUCUUGAGCGAGUGGCGAACGGGUGAGUAACGCGUGAGGAACCUGCCUCAAAGAGGGGGACAACAGUUGGAAACGACUGCUAAUACCGCAUAAGCCCACGACCCGGCAUCGGGUUGAGGGAAAAGGAGCCAUCCGCUUUGAGAUGGCCUCGCGUCCGAUUAGCUAGUUGGUGAGGUAACGGCCCACCAAGGCGACGAUCGGUAGCCGGACUGAGAGGUUGAACGGCCACAUUGGGACUGAGACACGGCCCAGACUCCUACGGGAGGCAGCAGUGGGGAAUAUUGCACAAUGGGGGAAACCCUGAUGCAGCGACGCCGCGUGGAGGAAGAAGGUCUUCGGAUUGUAAACUCCUGUUGUUGAGGAAGAUAAUGACGGUACUCAACAAGGAAGUGACGGCUAACUACGUG
This 466-nucleotide ribosomal RNA is filed under the name uncultured bacterium. Its description in RNAcentral is "partial 16S ribosomal RNA". It matches the Rfam family "Bacterial small subunit ribosomal RNA", at positions 28 to 507 of the family's 1533-position model. The record is from RNAcentral.